UACACUCCUGCGGGAGGCAGCAGUGGGGAAUUUUGGACAAUGGGCGAAAGCCUGAUCCAGCCAUGCCGCGUGCAGGAUGAAGGCCUUCGGGUUGUAAACUGCUUUUGUACGGAACGAAACGGCCUUUUCUAAUAAAGAGGGCUAAUGACGGUACCGUAAGAAUAAGCACCGGCUAACUACGUGCCAGCAGCCGCGGUAAUACGUAGGGUGCAAGCGUUAAUCGGAAUUACUGGGCGUAAAGCGUGCGCAGGCGGUUAUGUAAGACAGUUGUGAAAUCCCCGGGCUCAACCUGGGAACUGCAUCUGUGACUGCAUAGCGAGAGUACGGUAGAGGGGGAUGGAAUUCCGCGUGUAGCAGUGAAAUGCGUAGAUAUGCGGAGGAACACCGAUGGCGAAGGCAAUCCCCUGGACCUGUACUGACGCUCAUGCACGAAAGCGUGGGGAGCAAACAGGAUUAGAAACCCCAGUAGUCCC
This 473-nucleotide ribosomal RNA is filed under the name uncultured organism. RNAcentral's name for it is "partial 16S ribosomal RNA". It matches the Rfam family "Bacterial small subunit ribosomal RNA", at positions 332 to 797 of the family's 1533-position model. The record is from RNAcentral.